GAAACUCUGAUGCAGCAACGCCGCGUGGAGGAUGACGCAUUUCGGUGUGUAAACUCCUUUUAGUAGGGAAGAUUAUGACGGUACCUCUUGAAUAAGCACCGGCUAACUCCGUGCCAGCAGCCGCGGUAAUA
RNAcentral lists this ribosomal RNA (131 nucleotides) under uncultured bacterium. RNAcentral's name for it is "partial 16S ribosomal RNA". It matches the Rfam family "Bacterial small subunit ribosomal RNA", at positions 377 to 525 of the family's 1533-position model. The record is from RNAcentral.